GACGAACGCUGGCGGCGUGCUUAACACAUGCAAGUCGAACGGAAAGGCCCUGCUUUUGUGGGGUGCUCGAGUGGCGAACGGGUGAGUAACACGUGAGUAACCUGCCCUUGACUUUGGGAUAACUUAAGGAAACUGGGGCUAAUACCGGAUAGGAGCUCCUGCUGCAUGGUGGGGGUUGGAAAGUUUCGGCGGUUGGGGAUGGACUCGCGGCUUAUCAGCUUGUUGGUGGGGUAGUGGCUUACCAAGGCUUUGACGGGUCGCCGGCCUGAGAGGGUGACCGGCCACAUUGGGACUGAGAUACGGCCCAGACUCCUACGGGAGGCAGCAGUGGGGAAUAUUGCACAAUGGGCGGAAGCCUGAUGCAGCAACGCCGCGUGCGGGAUGACGGCCUUCGGGUUGUAAACCGCUUUCGCCUGUGACGAAGCGUGAGUGACGGUAAUGGGUAAAGAAGCACCGGCUAACUACGUG
This 468-nucleotide ribosomal RNA is filed under the name uncultured bacterium. RNAcentral's name for it is "partial 16S ribosomal RNA". It matches the Rfam family "Bacterial small subunit ribosomal RNA", at positions 28 to 507 of the family's 1533-position model. The record is from RNAcentral.